RNAcentral lists this unclassified non-coding RNA (921 nucleotides) under Amphimedon queenslandica. RNAcentral's name for it is "uncharacterized LOC109580930, transcript variant X1". The record is from RNAcentral. Lineage: Eukaryota; Metazoa; Porifera; Demospongiae; Haplosclerida; Niphatidae.
AUCCCAGUUAUACUUGAUCUUAUUUGAUGGUGGCAUGUGCUUUUGCUGUCUCUCUUUAUUAGGGUAAAGCAAGCACCUUUAGCUCACCAAAUGAUAUGAAAACAAGUUUGAGUCCACUUUAGGACAAUGAUAUCUUUGCCUUGUUUUUUAAUUCCUUAUAUAAAUCAGGGAAUGAUGACAAGAAGGUAAUGCACUUGAGCUUCCAUUAAAGAAGCCAUGAUAGUCAUUAAUUCUUCACUUUGACCUGACCCUGAUUAAAUUUACCGUCUAAUAGUCAUAUUGAUGAAGCACAAUCAAGUUAUGCAAAACCACUGGAUCUUGUCAUAGUCAUCAUACUGGGCUCAUUCUUAGCUAUUGGAUUGACAAUAGAUUACAUUCAAACAUUCUACGGCUCAAUACAAAGUGAAGACGAUAUUGUUUAUGGGGUGUGGCCCCCUCCGCCAGUGUUGAAGUCUUAUGCAUGGUGGUGUUCAAAUGUCGAUACACUCUUGGCAGUUAAUCCAUCUUGGUAUAGCGUAAUGGCUGCUUUUAGCCCUUUUAUAUAUUGUCCUUUCUAUGUAGCAGCUAUUUAUGCUUUCAUAUUUGAAAAGGAAUGGAUUAGGAUUCCAGCAUUAAUGUGGGGAUGGGGUCUUCUUCUCACUAUGAUCAUUGUAGCUCAUGAGCAGCUGUAUGGACCACAUCCAGCAAAAGAUGUGACUCUGUUCUUUAUUGCUUAUGGGGCAUAUGCUGUAAUGCCAUUGGUCAUAAUGGGACGCGUUGCUAUGACACCACUGUUUCCAAAAUUAACACAAAUCAAGCCACCCAGCCCACAACAACGGUCUGGUGGUAAAAAGAAAAAGAAUUAAAUGAAUUUACUUUUUUGAUAAUGAUUUUUGAGCUGAUUAGAGAAUUGAUUGAUUAUAUAAUGUUUGUCCAAGCUUA